GUGAUGGUUUGCUGUAGCCUCCACAGGACACCCCUGGGGACAUGGCAAGCUCUGCUCUGAGUGUCUCCACGCAGGGCAAGUGGUCUUGUGCGACUUUGUGUGCCAGAGAGAACUUUGAGCAGCCUGUGGCCUGCUUGGUGAGGAGGUGUUCCAGCCUUGUGAGUCAUUGGCUGACCUGGAAUGACAUCUCCUAUGCUUAGCCAAGUGGUUCUUGGGUGCCUGAGUUUAUGGCCCUGCGGGGAAGCUGGAGGCCUUUCAGAUGCAGACCAAAAGUCAUCACCUGGCUUACUUCGAGUGUGGCAAGGACAAUUCUGGACCCCACUCUCUCUUCCCCAUCAAAACCAACAGAUUCCUGGGGAGGCGGCUGUCAGAGACCAGUGGAAUGAGUUCUCUGCCUGAGAUUUGGCAUGUAUCCCAAGGAUUCCUGCAUGUGGAACACCCCCUCCUCAGCAGAAAACACAACGGUGCCGUGGGCUCCUAUUCCUUUUGAAUAGCAUGGAAUCUGGGGCUAGUACCAGGUCCCAGCAGUCAUGCUGCUGUCCCCAUCAUGCUUGUCACCAAAAUUUCUUGGUGACCUUCCCCCUACUGCCACACAUAGCCACUCAGGAGAUUUCUGGACAUUUCUCCUAUGUGUACUCAGGAGGGGCCUGGUGCUCUGGGAAAUGUGGCAUUCUCUGAACACCAGCACACACCAUUGGACCCUGAUUGUGUCAGACACCAGGGUCAUUUGCCGUGGGCCGUGUAUGAACUUUACCUGGUG
Mesocricetus auratus (golden hamster) is the source of this 760-nucleotide long non-coding RNA. RefSeq lists it as uncharacterized. The record is from RefSeq and is a predicted model, not a curated record. Lineage: Eukaryota; Metazoa; Chordata; Mammalia; Rodentia; Cricetidae. The transcript is spliced from 3 exons.